AAAAAAACAAAACCAACAACAAAAAAAUCAGCCAGCAUAUAGAAAUACAUUUAUAUUAUUCUUAGGCAUCUUUCCUGUGGGUUGCAAAAAUUUGGUUUUGUUUUCUCUACGUGCCUCGGCACUUCUCGUUCCAUCUGGAAGUGGAGAUCAAAGCGCUGCAGUCCCACAAGCAAGCGAGCAAGCAUUUGUCUCUUGAGCUGCACAAGGAAGCACUGGAAGGCUGACAAAGGAUCGUGCUGCUGCAGGGCAGGGGCCAGAGCGCCGCAGAGAUGCGUCGCUCCAGAUUGCUUCAAGGGGCACCGGAUCACGUUUUGGAGCACAAUGUUUAGGGGAACUUCAGGAGCUCAGAGAAUGUUGCUGCCAUCAAUAGACUGGGGACCAGGAAGAAACGCAACUGCCAUGAACUUCCUCCUUCUCCCCACUUGAAAAGUCAAGAACUUUCCAUGCCUGCUGUGAUUCUCAGCCUCACCAUGACAAACGGGGAGAGCGACUGAUGAAAUGAUGCAUGUCCUAGCUUACUCUACGGCUGACUGCUCCGCUUCCCUCGCGUUUCCCGCUUGCACCGACUGCUGUAUUGCAGCCAUAUAGAUUAUAUGACAAGUCAAGUUUGGGUUGAGUGGAGUGCUGCCAUCUCUUGGUUAUUUUGGGCAGAUCGACUCACAUAUUUUUUCAUUUUCCUGCCACUCAAGAAUGGUAUGAAGUAACACAGAAAAACAACUAUUCUGGAUGAAAAAGUUUAGGCACUUAGGAAGUGUAAUUGUGGUUUUCAUAGAUCCAAGCAUGUAGAACAGAGUACAUUUGCUGGUGCAUUGGAUCUCUGUGUAACUUCUGUUAAGCGUUUUUAACAAACCUAUAAACCAUGAACAGUUGGAACAGUUUAUAUAUGAUGU
Molecule: long non-coding RNA, 890 nt
Filed under: Parus major (Great Tit)
Lineage: Eukaryota; Metazoa; Chordata; Aves; Passeriformes; Paridae
Description: lncRNA (ENSPMJG00000013770.1)
Source: RNAcentral